RNAcentral lists this ribosomal RNA (460 nucleotides) under uncultured bacterium. RNAcentral's name for it is "partial 16S ribosomal RNA". It matches the Rfam family "Bacterial small subunit ribosomal RNA", at positions 338 to 795 of the family's 1533-position model. The record is from RNAcentral.
CCUACGGGCGGCAGCAGUGAGGAAUAUUGGUCAAUGGGCGCGAGCCUGAACCAGCCAAGUAGCGUGAAGGAUGACUGCCCUACGGGUUGUAAACUUCUUUUAUAAGGGAAUAAAGUGAGGCACGUGUGCCUUUUUGUGUGUACUUUAUGAAUAAGGAUCGGCUAACUCCGUGCCAGCAGCCGCGGUAAUACGGAGGAUGCGAGCGUUAUCCGGAUUUAUUGGGUUUAAAGGGAGCGUAGAUGGGUUGUUAAGUCAGUGGUGAAAGUUUGCGGCUCAACCGUAAAAGUGCAAUUGAAACUGGCAGCCUUGAGUACAGGUGAGGUAGGCGGAAUGCGUGGUGUAGCGGUGAAAUGCUUAGAUAUCACGAAGAACUCCGAUUGCGAAGGCAGCCUACUAGACUGCCACUGACACUGAUGCACGAAAGUGUGGGUAUCGAACAGGAUUAGAUACCCGAGUAGUC